Molecule: ribosomal RNA, 369 nt
Filed under: Colaconema sp. ARS-2011
Lineage: Eukaryota; Rhodophyta; Florideophyceae; Colaconematales; Colaconemataceae
Description: bacterial LSU rRNA
Rfam family: Bacterial large subunit ribosomal RNA
Source: RNAcentral
CUUUACUGUAGCUUGGAAUUGGGUUUGGGCUUUUCUUGCGCAGCAUAGGUGGGAGGCUAAGARAAUAAGUUUGAGGACUUAUUGGAGCCAUCAGUGAGAUACCACUCUAGGAAAGCUAGAAUUCUAACCUUGAAAGCCGUUAACCGGCCAAGGAACAGUUUCAGGUGGGCAGUUUGACUGGGGCGGUCGCCUCCUAAAAAGUAACGGAGGCGUGCAAAGGUUCCCUCAGGCUGGUCGGAAAUCAGUCGUAGAGUGUAAAGGCAUAAGGGAGCUUGACUGCAAGACCUACAAGUCGAGCAGAGACGAAAGUCGGCCUUAGUGAUCCGACAGUGCCGAGUGGAAGGGCUGUCGCUCAACGGAUAAAAGUUA